Molecule: ribosomal RNA, 414 nt
Filed under: uncultured bacterium
Lineage: Bacteria
Description: bacterial SSU rRNA
Rfam family: Bacterial small subunit ribosomal RNA
Source: RNAcentral
GACGAACGCUGGCGGCGUGCUUAAUACAUGCAAGUCAACUGAACUUGAGGUAGCAAUAUCACAAGAGAGGUGGCGCACGGGUGAGUAACACGUAGGUAAUCUGCCUUUAGGUCUGACAUAAUUCCGCGAAAGCGGGACUAAUAUCAGAUGAUGCAGCGGCUCGACAUCGAGACAGUUGUUAAACCUUCGGGGCCUAAAGAUGAGCCUGCGUCUGAUUAGGUAGUUGGCGGAGUAAAAGCCCACCAAGCCUGCGAUCAGCAGCUGGUCUGAGAGGAUAAUCAGCCACACUGGAACUGAGACACGGUCCAGACUCCUACGGGAGGCAGCAGUAAGGAAUAUUGCUCAAUGGCCGAAAGGCUGAAGCAGCAACGCCGCGUGGAGGAUGAAAUACUUCUGUAUGUAAACUCCUGUAAG